This is a non-coding RNA of Thelephora ganbajun, 99 nucleotides long. NCBI's taxonomy places the organism in Eukaryota, Fungi, Basidiomycota, Agaricomycetes, Thelephorales, Thelephoraceae. The record is from the annotation of a GenBank genome assembly.
GGCUUGGUGGUCUAGUAGUAUGAUUCCUUCUUAGGGCUAGCACGUGCAUAUCACGUGACCCAAUGGAGGAGGUCCCGGGUUCAAUUCCCGGCCAAGCCC